CCUUAUUGUGCCCCCCCGAUACUUUCUGCAGUGUUAUUCUAUACCGUGUCCAGGAGGGGGUUGUUAUUGCUUUGCUUUGUUACUUGGAAUCAAUACGGCCGGAAUGUAUAUCCUCAGAGUAUUCACCUAACUGCAGGUUUUGAUUGAAAAAUACAUUUUCAAACCAUAAAUGCCAGUCGAGAUCACUGAAGCAUCACAUACAUUCAAUAAGGUGGUAACUUUAUCCCAAGCUGCACUUCUUGGCGGGGGGGGUUCCUGCCCCGAACCCAUCAGAUCCCGUGACACUGUGAUUGACAGCUGUAUGCUUUGAACUUUACAUUUGCUCCCCAUCCAAUCAAGAAUCACCUCCUUAAAUCCCACUUCUCCCUCUUCUGGCUGCAGAAAACCGGC
This is a long non-coding RNA of Gasterosteus aculeatus aculeatus (three-spined stickleback), 390 nucleotides long. NCBI's taxonomy places the organism in Eukaryota, Metazoa, Chordata, Actinopteri, Perciformes, Gasterosteidae. The record is from Ensembl.